Molecule: ribosomal RNA, 469 nt
Filed under: uncultured bacterium
Lineage: Bacteria
Description: partial 16S ribosomal RNA
Rfam family: Bacterial small subunit ribosomal RNA
Source: RNAcentral
GAUGAACGCUGGCGGCGUGCUUAACACAUGCAAGUCGAACGGUGAAGCUCCAGCUUGCUGGAGUGGAUCAGUGGCGAACGGGUGAGUAACACGUGAGCAACCUGCCCCUGACUCUGGGAUAACAGCCGGAAACGGCUGCUAAUACCGGAUAUGCACCAUGAACGCAUGUUCUGGGGUGGGAAAGAUUUUUCGGUUGGGGAUGGGCUCGCGGCCUAUCAGCUUGUUGGUGAGGUAAUGGCUCACCAAGGCGUCGACGGGUAGCCGGCCUGAGAGGGUGACCGGCCACACUGGGACUGAGACACGGCCCAGACUCCUACGGGAGGCAGCAGUGGGGAAUAUUGCACAAUGGGCGAAAGCCUGAUGCAGCAACGCCGCGUGAGGGAUGACGGCCUUCGGGUUGUAAACCUCUUUUAGCAGGGAAGAAGCGAGAGUGACGGUACCUGCAGAAAAAGCGCCGGCUAACUACGUG